RNAcentral lists this ribosomal RNA (482 nucleotides) under uncultured bacterium. RNAcentral describes it as "partial 16S ribosomal RNA". It matches the Rfam family "Bacterial small subunit ribosomal RNA", at positions 30 to 507 of the family's 1533-position model. The record is from RNAcentral.
AUUGAACGCUGGCGGCAUGCCUUACACAUGCAAGUCGAACGGUAACAGGUCUUCGGCCGCUGACGAGUGGCGCACGGGUGCGUAAUACAUCGGAACGUGCCCGAUCGUGGGGGAUAACGAGGCGAAAGCUUUGCUAAUACCGCAUACGAUCUACGGAUGAAAGCGGGGGAUCUUCGGACCUCGCGCGGACGGAGCGGCCGAUGGCAGAUUAGGUAGUUGGUGGGAUAAAAGCUUACCAAGCCGACGAUCUGUAGCUGGUCUGAGAGGAUGAUCAGCCACACUGGGACUGAGACACGGCCCAGACUCCUACGGGAGGCAGCAGUGGGGAAUUUUGGACAAUGGGCGAAAGCCUGAUCCAGCCAUGCCGCGUGCAGGAUGAAGGCCUUCGGGUUGUAAACUGCUUUUGUACGGAACGAAAAGCCUCUUUCUAAUAAAGAGGGGUCAUGACGGUACCGUAAGAAUAAGCACCGGCUAACUACGUG